Molecule: non-coding RNA, 161 nt
Filed under: uncultured Prevotella sp.
Lineage: Bacteria; Pseudomonadati; Bacteroidota; Bacteroidia; Bacteroidales; Prevotellaceae
Source: RNAcentral
CAUGGCGCGAUGAAAUGGGAAUGGGGUGAGAAUCCCCAACUGUCCCGCAGCUGUAAGGUCCUUUUAUCGCCACCAAGCUUGACACCACUGCCUGUAUGAUAGUUGGGUGGGAAGGUGCUUGGUGGUAGGUCCAAAGUCAGAAGACCAGCCUCUGAAAUUUG